Molecule: ribosomal RNA, 629 nt
Filed under: uncultured Bacteroidales bacterium
Lineage: Bacteria; Pseudomonadati; Bacteroidota; Bacteroidia; Bacteroidales
Description: bacterial SSU rRNA
Rfam family: Bacterial small subunit ribosomal RNA
Source: RNAcentral
UCGAGGGGCAGCAUGGUCUUAGCUUGCUAAGGCCGAUGGCGACCGGCGCACGGGUGAGUAACACGUAUCCAACCUGCCGUCUACUCUUGGACAGCCUUCUGAAAGGAAGAUUAAUACAAGAUGGCAUCAUGAGUCCGCAUGUUCACAUGAUUAAAGGUAUUCCGGUAGACGAUGGGGAUGCGUUCCAUUAGAUAGUAGGCGGGGUAACGGCCCACCUAGUCUUCGAUGGAUAGGGGUUCUGAGAGGAAGGUCCCCCACAUUGGAACUGAGACACGGUCCAAACUCCUACGGGAGGCAGCAGUGAGGAAUAUUGGUCAAUGGGCGAGAGCCUGAACCAGCCAAGUAGCGUGAAGGAUGACUGCCCUAUGGGUUGUAAACUUCUUUUAUAAAGGAAUAAAGUCGGGUAUGUAUACCCGUUUGCAUGUACUUUAUGAAUAAGGAUCGGCUAACUCCGUGCCAGCAGCCGCGGUAAUACGGAGGAUCCGAGCGUUAUCCGGAUUUAUUGGGUUUAAAGGGAGCGUAGAUGGAUGUUUAAGUCAGUUGUGAAAGUUUGCGGCUCAACCGUAAAAUUGCAGUUGAUACUGGAUAUCUUGAGUGCAGUUGAGGCAGGCGGAACUUCGUGGUGUAGC